This 68-nucleotide transfer RNA is filed under the name Cocculina subcompressa. RNAcentral describes it as "tRNA-Asn". Lineage: Eukaryota; Metazoa; Mollusca; Gastropoda; Cocculinidae. The record is from RNAcentral.
UGAGUUAAAGCUAAAAAGAGGCAUCUAACUGUUAAUUAGAAGAUUGUAAAAUAACUUUACUAGCUCAG